GAUGAACGCUGGCGGCGUGCCUAAUACAUGCAAGUCGAGCGAACAGAUGAGGAGCUUGCUCCUCUGACGUUAGCGGCGGACGGGUGAGUAACACGUGGAUAACCUACCUAUAAGACUGGGAUAACUUCGGGAAACCGGAGCUAAUACCGGAUAAUAUAUUGAACCGCAUGGUUCAAUAGUGAAAGACGGUUUUGCUGUCACUUAUAGAUGGAUCCGCGCCGCAUUAGCUAGUUGGUAAGGUAACCGCUUACCAAGGCGACGAUGCGUAGCCGACCUGAGAGGGUGAUCGGCCACACUGGAACUGAGACACGGUCCAGACUCCUACGGGAGGCAGCAGUAGGGAAUCUUCCGCAAUGGGCGAAAGCCUGACGGAGCAACGCCGCGUGAGUGAUGAAGGUCUUCGGAUCGUAAAACUCUGUUAUUAGGGAAGAACAAAUGUGUAAGUAACUAUGCACGUCUUGACGGUACCUAAUCAGAAAGCCACGGCUAACUACGUG
Molecule: ribosomal RNA, 497 nt
Filed under: uncultured bacterium
Lineage: Bacteria
Description: partial 16S ribosomal RNA
Rfam family: Bacterial small subunit ribosomal RNA
Source: RNAcentral